UGCGCAGGCGGGCUUGUAAGUCAGUGGUGAAAUACUGCCGCUUAACGGUAGAACUGCCAUUGAUACUGCAAGUCUUGAAUAUGGUUGAGGUAGGCGGAAUGUGUUGUGUAUCGGUGAAAUGCAUAGAUAUGACACAGAACGCCGAUUGCGAAGGCAGCUUACUAAGCCAUUAUUGACGCUGAGGCACGAAAGCGUGGGGAGCGAACAGGAUUAGAUACCCUGGUAGUCC
This 229-nucleotide ribosomal RNA is filed under the name uncultured bacterium. Its description in RNAcentral is "partial 16S ribosomal RNA". It matches the Rfam family "Bacterial small subunit ribosomal RNA", at positions 568 to 796 of the family's 1533-position model. The record is from RNAcentral.